Molecule: long non-coding RNA, 511 nt
Filed under: Nicotiana benthamiana
Lineage: Eukaryota; Viridiplantae; Streptophyta; Magnoliopsida; Solanales; Solanaceae
Description: long non-coding RNA (NBEN_LNC030184)
Source: RNAcentral
AGCACAAAACAACGUCGUCCACCCUCCAGUCAUUCACACCCCCACCCCCCUGAACUCCAACGCCCACAGUUGCUUCACCAUCUGACCCUGCCGUUCACACCACCCAAUGACCACCCUUGUAACCCAUCGCCAUACACAAAUGACCACCCUCGUUGAUAUCCUUAUCUCACCAGUCUUCACCAGAACAUCACCCCAAAAAUUAGCUCCAAAAAAAAAAACCUUAAACCAACCAUGGACAUUACCUAAACUCCAAUCCCAAAUCAGGUCCUGCUGAAUCUAAUAUUUCCGGUAGCUUGUGAACACAAAAAUUCCAGUUGAGCUCGAGUACGUGGAUAGGUUUUUUGGUCGAGCUCCGAUGGCGGUUUGAUCUUUGUUCUAGUUUAUUUUUUUGAUUUUAUUCGCACUCUAAGUAUGAACUUUCGAUCGAAAUGUUGUAAUUGUCGUUGGAUGCUCUAUUAUGCUGAAAUGUAUAAUAAUUUUUAUUUGUCUCUCUAAAAAUUUCAUUACUCAG